UUCGAGCUUUGAAUUAUUUUUCUAAAAUAUGUUCAAGGCUCGUUAAUUGAUUUCAAAUGAUUUCGGACCCGAUCUUGGGCAAUCGGACUUGAGUAUUUACUCAAAAACGGAUUCUUUUACCUGUUUUAAUUCCGAAAAAUGUCUAGAAAUUCCAGAAAAUUCCCGAAAAAUCAUUUUUAACCCAAGACUUGAUUUAGUAUCAAUUGGGGUGGGAAACCUUAUGUGUAAUGUGUUGUCUGCUAUCUGUUUGAUGUGUUAUGUGCCGAUAAAGGAGUUAGAAAACGGUUUUGGUCAUAACUUUUGACUCGUAAUUCAGAAUGGAGUAAAACGAAAAAGAGGUUGAAGCUUAUAAAGUCUAUUUUAAUGUGACAUAAUAAUAUGGUGGAGUAUAGAAUGUGAAUAAUUGUUGUUAAAUGUAUAGAAUAUGAUUAUAUGUGAUCUAAUUGCUAUUAAAUGAUAAUUGCAUGGACUAUCUGAUUGUUCUAGUAUUACAUACAUGUGAUAAAUGAUUAAAUGACAUAGUGUCGUGUCUUGAUAGAUGUCGGAUAAAAGCAUAUGGAUUAUAGUGAUUGGAUUUGGUUGGUUGAUUGUUGAUUGAGAUAGGAUAACAGGUGGAUAGUCUAAUAAAUAGACGAGACGAUGUCGGAUUUUCGAUAAGAUUUAUAUGAUAUUUAAUUGAUAAUAUGUUAUGUGAAAUAUGAUUAGACUAUAUGGUAGAGUCAAAGCAUGAUUAUGUGUUAAGUGAUAUUUGAUGAGUUUAAAGAGUUAUAUAAGUGGGUAUCGAUAUACAUGAUAUGUGUAUGCGAUAGGUUAUGCUACCGAGUUGAUAAGUAGAAAUAAGAAUCAAUAGAUUAUUUAGUGAUAAUGGUAGUAUCUUAUCCUCGUAAAGGGUUUGGACGAGACGGAUACGAUCGAAGACGUUCAGAAGGUCAAACGAUGUUACAAAGCGAAUAAGGAACGAAUCGAGUAAACGAAGCAGUGUGGCGAAUAGAGUAUAGCCAAAGAUGGUCUAGAGACUAUGAUAUGCAUAGAGUGUGAAAGUGGAAAGAUGAGAUUGAGAUAUGAGACUGGAAUCGGAUUUAAGGCAAGUUUUCCUAAAUCCUUCCUCAUAUAUAUAUUGCAUGUUCUGAUUAUUUUGUCAAGAUUAUGAUAUUGUUUAUGCUGAGACCCUUCUCAAACAAACUCUUAUUUUUGAGAAUGAAACCCAUGAUUGUCUUCUACUUUCAAGUCUUUGAAAAGCCAAACACCCAAAUACUCUCAAUUUCUAUUACAAGUAUUCUGAUCCAUUCUUUCCCAUCCUCAAGAUUUUAACAGUAUCAGCUUUUUAAAUUAGUUCGAAGUUCAGACCGUCAUUGAAGCAUGGGUUGCUCAGUGAUAGUUAGAACCUAGAAUGAGUUGGGAUCUUCUUGAUUAUUCAACCCGCCAUUGUCAUGCUGGUUUAGCAGGCUAAAUUCAGUUGCUUAGCCGAUAAUGGAGGAUACUGAAUAGUUAGGAAUUUCCUGAACUAUGAUUUAUCAAAAUACAGACUGUGGUUUAUGAAAUGUUGAUCCUCAAAAGUUGAUUUGGAAUAUUUCUGUUGCUGAUAAUGAUUAUGAUUCUGUUCUGUUGAUUGAAUUGUCUAUUGAUUUAAAUUGUUAGAAUUGGAUUAGUUUUUAUAAAAUAUGUGGACCAGAUUCGUGGUCAGACCAGAUUCGUGGUCAAUUAUAGGCCAAUGUGUGCCUUGGAUCCAGUAUAGAGAACAGGGCUGUGUGCCAUGUUCGGGGUUAGUGCGUGACUGAUCAGCAGCCUAACCUUUGGUUUUUAAGUAAAAAUGUGAUGAAUCCAAUUCGACAAUUCUUCUGUAAGUUUGAAUUCUGAUUUCAAUUGCUGAUAAGAAUUGUGAAAUUUUCAAUUGCAUAUCCUGAACUUGUGAACCCUGAUAAAAUAUUUCAGGACUAUUGUUGCUUAUAUACACUUGCUGAGCAUUGUUGCUCACCCUUGCUAUUCCUUUUUAACCAUUUCAGAAAAGCUUAGAGAUGAAUUGCUUGAUUGAGAUUGCGAGUAUGGCUAAGGAUAAGCGAGGAGUAGGAGUUAUAGAAUAUCCAGAGGACAAGUGGAAUGUUCAGGGAGAUUGACAAGGUUGGUUCUAGAUAGAGUUGUAUUAUUGAGAUUCAGUUGUAAGUCAUAAUU
This 2169-nucleotide long non-coding RNA is filed under the name Daucus carota (carrot). RNAcentral's name for it is "long non-coding RNA (DCAR_LNC005523)". Lineage: Eukaryota; Viridiplantae; Streptophyta; Magnoliopsida; Apiales; Apiaceae. The record is from RNAcentral.